This 292-nucleotide ribosomal RNA is filed under the name uncultured bacterium. RNAcentral describes it as "partial 16S ribosomal RNA". The record is from RNAcentral.
GGACUACACGGGUUUCUAAUCCUGUUUGCUCCCCACGCUGUCGCGCCUGAGCGUCGGUAACGGGCCAGUGAGCCGCCUUCGCCACUGGUGUUCUUCCGAAUAUCUACGAAUUUCACCUCUACACUCGGAAUUCCACUCACCUCUCCCGCACCCAAGUCCUCUAGUCUCAAAGGCCAUUCCAGAGUUGAGCUCUGGGCUUUCACCUCUGACUUGAAGGACCGCCUGCGCGCGCUUUACGCCCAGUAAUUCCGAACAACGCUAGCCCCCUUCGUAUUACCGCGGCGGCUGGCAC